GCUGUUGGCUUAGGGGCUUAUUGUAAAUACAUAUGAUAGAUUUAGCAAAAGCACAGUGUUUUGUAAACAUGUUGACGCUGCAAUGUGACCGUGUCUUAGCCUUGGUUUUGCAUUUCAAUGUUUUCUUAAUGAUUACAAAUCUGUCACACUUAGCUUGCAGUUUAGACACACACACACACACGCCUUGUGGAACACACACACUCUGAAACACACACACACAACAUGUUUUGGGGUUGUCGUGGGGUUGUUGAUUACUGAUUAUACUGAUUACACCGUAACUUGCAGUUUACAGUCUCAGCAUGCACAGGCUGUCAUCAAAUAUUUGUGGCAGACUGUUCACACACUCAGUCACACAUGUUGUGGCAUAGCAGGACAAGCUGUUGCAGGCAAUCCCAUUAAUCCACAGUAACAGAGCACUUCCUUCAUACUCUCUCUCUCUGUCUCUGUCUGUCUCCCUCUCUCUAUUGGUCUCAACUAAAUGGCAGAUUUAUAAAAAUCAAAUGGCGUUCUCAUUGUUUGUAUUUGUUUGCGGGUCUCCAGAGAGAGAUGUCUCCUGUCAAGCCACAAAUACAGAGGAAGGUGUCUCCCCUCAAGCCACAGAGAGAGAGGAAGGUGUCUCCCCUCAAGCCACAGAGAGAGAGGGAGCUGUCUCCCCUCAAGCCACAGAGAGAGAGGGAGCUGUCUCCCCUCAAGCCACAGAGAGAGAGAUGUCUCCCCUCAAGCCACAGAGAGAGAGAGAGAGAUGUCUCCCCUCAAGCCACAGAGAGAGAGGGAGCUGUCUCCCCUCAAGCCACAGAGAGAGAGGGAGAUGUCUCCCCUCAAGCCACAGAGAGAGAGAGAGAGAGAGGGAGAUGUCUCCCCUCAAGCCACAGAGAGAGAGGGAGAUGUCUCCCCUCAAGCCACAGAGAGAGAGAGAGAGAUGUCUCCCCUCAAACCACAGAGAGAGAGGGAGAUAUGUCUCCCCUCAAGCCACAGAGAGAGAGAGAGAUGUCUCCCCUCAAGCCACAGAGAGAGAGGGAGCUGUCUCCUGUCAAGCCACAGAGAGAGAGAGAGAGAGAGGGAGAUGUCUCCCCUCAAGCCACAGAGAGAGGGAGAUAUGUCUCCCCUCAAGCCACAGAGAGAGGGAGAUGUCUCCCCUCAAGGCACAGAGAGAGAGAUGUCUCCCCUCAAGCCACAGAGAGAGAGGGAGAUGUCUCCCCUCAAGCCACAGAGAGAGAGGGAGCUGUCUCCCCUCAAACCACAGAGAGAGAGAGAGAUGUCUCCCCUCAAACCACAGAGAGAGAGAGAGAUGUCUCCCCUCAAGCCACAGAGAGAGAGAGAGAUGUCUCCCCUCAAGCCACAGAGAGAGAGGGAGAUGUCUCCCCUCAAGCCACAGAGAGAGAGGGAGAUGUCUCUCCUCAAGCCACAGAGAGAGAGGGAGAUGUCUCCCCUCAAGCCACAGAGAGAGAGGGAGAUGUCUCCCCUCAAGCCACAGAGAGAGAGGGAGAUGUCUCCCCUCAAGCCACAGAGAGAGAGAU
This 1517-nucleotide long non-coding RNA is filed under the name Salmo salar (Atlantic salmon). Its description in RNAcentral is "lncRNA (ENSSSAG00000092021.1)". The record is from RNAcentral. Lineage: Eukaryota; Metazoa; Chordata; Actinopteri; Salmoniformes; Salmonidae.